RNAcentral lists this long non-coding RNA (1704 nucleotides) under Ananas comosus (pineapple). Its description in RNAcentral is "long non-coding RNA (ACOM_LNC026257)". The record is from RNAcentral. Lineage: Eukaryota; Viridiplantae; Streptophyta; Magnoliopsida; Poales; Bromeliaceae.
AUUCUGCUCCAACUCUACAAUAACAAAAAUAUAAACAAAUAAAGUGAAAACCAGUUUAUUGUUAUAAUUUACUUAUUCCAGAAUUUUUAUUGUUCUUAUUGUAAUUAACUAGUAUGGCGAAUAUCUUCUUACCAGCUAUAUAAUUAAAUUUGACCAAAAAUAUAUCUAAAGAAUUUAAGGUUUCAUAAGACAUGCCUAAUAUAUCUAAAGCAUUCAAUCUGCCGGCUUUAUAAUUAUAUUUGAUCAAAAAUAUAUCUAAAGUAUUUAAGGUUUGAUAAGACAUCCCUAAUUUAUCUAAAACAAUCAACCCAUUUUCAAUGUUGUAACAAAAAAAUAUAUAUAUAAAAGAAAAAGUUAUUAUUUAUUAUUUAUAUUAUCAUAUAUUUACUAUAAACAUUAUCCAGCAUUUAUUAUAAACAUUAUCAUAUAUUUACUAUUACUAUUUAUUAUCAAUAUUGUCAUACAUUUACAAUAUUAUCAUAUAUUUACUAUCAACACUACUUUAAAUAUUAUUUUUAGUACCACAUUUAUUAAGAACCACCUUAAAAAUACUCUAAUCUAUUUUUUUAGUUCGUAAAUCUGUAAAAAUAAAUAUCUUUUCAUAUAUAUCCUCUGUAUCUAUAUUUGAUGUAGAACUUUUGUGUUAUAUCUUCGCAUUUAAUUUGUUUAUGAAUUGUCUUCUUUUCCCAAAUGGCCAAAAAAUUGGAUGGUUUAAAACUUUACCGUUAUAAGUAUUUAAAAGAAACAAAAGAAAACAAUUAGAAAAAGAGAAAAAAAUUAGUUUAAUGUAUAUAUAAAUAUUGAAAAGCAAAAGUUUGAAAAACUAACCCUUUUUACGAUCUAUUUUUAAUUGUUACAAAAUCUCAUGUUCUGUGAAAGUCACCAUAGCUUUGGAAAAUAAUUUCCACCAUAGUUCUUAAAUUCUUCUAGUUAUUCUGCUCCAACUCUACAAUAACAAAAAUAUUAAUAAAUAAAAUGAAAACCAGUUUAUUGUUAUAAUUUACUUAUUUCAGAAUUUCUAUUAUUCUCAUUGUAAUUCACUAGUAUGGCGAAUAUCUUCCUACCAGCUAUAUAAUUAUAUUUGACCAAAAAUAUAUCUAGAGAAUUUAAGGUUUCAUAAGACAUGCCUAAUAUAUCUAAAUCAUUCAACCUGUCGGCUUUAUAAUUAUAUUUGAUCAAAAAUAUAUAUGGAGUAUUUAAGGUUUGAUAAGACAUGCCUAAUUCAUCUAAAACAAUCAACCUAUUUUCAAUGUAGCUACAAAAAAAAAUUAAAAAUUUAAAGGAAAAGUUAUUAUUUAUUAUAUAUUAUCAUAUAUUUACUAUAAACAUUAUAAUUCAUUUACUAUAAACAUUAUCAUAUAUUUACUAGUUACUAUCAAUAUUGUCAUACGUUUACAAAUCCGCCAUAUACAAAGAAAUUUUCUCUGUAUACGAAGCGAUUGCUGUACCUGUGAAAAUACAAUACUACAACCAGUAGUAUAGAACUGUAAGGAACAAAACAUAACAUGGUAGCAAAUAACAGUUUACUAUACAUACAACAUAUGGAUACAAAAGCUCGCCUCGCAAGAAACAGUAAUGACAGUAUGUAUAAGAACUCAAAAACUACAACUACCUAUAGCUGGUACUCCACUAGCUCUGGCUCGUCUGGUAGGGCUCUAACUCACGACGCCCUUGCCACGAUCAGGAUCAGCAGCAGCCGACGAU